AUGAGAAGAACUGGGCUGCCGUCUCAGAGGUGGUGGGCGAUACGGAGCACAAGUGUCCCCGAGGAUCAGAGGAGCCACAACUCUAUAUGCAGAAGGAUUUUUAAGUUCCAUAAUUCUAUCCUGUCCAAUUUCCUAAAAACCUUCAGGCCUAUGCUAAGAGAAGAAGAAGAAAGAAGGGAAAUCAAAAUGGCAAAUAUAGAAGGUAAGCUUAGCAGUAAUAUUUAAGACAUAAAGGAGACAGAACUAAGAGGGAUUCUGUGAGAUGACUAACCAUGGUCAUUCUUGGUAGCCACUUUUCACUAUGUUUUUUUCUUUUUCCUUUUUCUCUUCCUCCUCCUAUGUUCCAGAAAGGAUGCUUGGCACUUUCAUAUAUUACCUCAUUGAAUCCUACCAUGAGAUAGAACACAUGUAUUUUUCUCAGAUUAACAAAUUGAGGCUUGGAUAGAUUAAGUAGUUUUUCUUGUCUAGUACGUAAAGCAGAGGUAGGAUUCAGGCCUGCUGAACACAGAUGCCCAUGUUCUUUCCACUGCACUAAGGUCUAAGCAAGGAAUCAGAAAGUCUUAGUGUCUGAAAAUACACAGGGUUUGGUAGACCGUCUCUACUUCCAUAGAAGCUACCUCUUUCUUUUUUUCUUCCUCCCUUCCUUCCUUUCUCUUUCUUUCUUUCUUCUUUCUUUCUUUCUUUCUUUCUUCUUUCUUUCUUUCUUUCUUUCUUUCUUUCUUCCUUUUCUUUCUUUCUUUUUCUACCUAUAGCACUUUGUAAUGAUUCUGCCUUCAGACCAAGAGUGUGUUGGAAU
This 796-nucleotide long non-coding RNA is filed under the name Felis catus (domestic cat). Its description in RNAcentral is "lncRNA (ENSFCAG00000045498.2)". Lineage: Eukaryota; Metazoa; Chordata; Mammalia; Carnivora; Felidae. The record is from RNAcentral.